GUGAGUCAUCGAAUCUUUGAACGCACCUUGCGCCCCUUGGCUAUUCCGAGGGGCAUGCCUGUUUGAGUAUCAUGAACACCUCAACUCUCAUGGUUCGCCGUGACGAGCUUGGACUCUUGGGGGUAUUGCUGGCCUGCGGUCAGCUCCUCUCAAACGAAUCAGCUCUCCAGUGUUUGGUGGCGUCACGGGUGUGAUAACUAUCUACGCUUGUGGUGUUCUGCCAGGCAACCUUCAGUGAUGGAGGUUCGCUGGAGCUCAUAAAUGUCUCUCCUCAGCGAGGACAGCCUUUUGAAUGUUUGAUCUCAAAUCAGGUAGGACUACCCGCUGAACUUAAGCAUAUCAAUAAGCGGAGG
Molecule: ribosomal RNA, 353 nt
Filed under: uncultured Tomentella
Lineage: Eukaryota; Fungi; Basidiomycota; Agaricomycetes; Thelephorales; Thelephoraceae
Description: eukaryotic LSU rRNA
Rfam family: 5.8S ribosomal RNA (bases 1-72)
Source: RNAcentral